This 75-nucleotide ribosomal RNA is filed under the name Clostridiales bacterium. RNAcentral's name for it is "partial 16S ribosomal RNA". It matches the Rfam family "Bacterial small subunit ribosomal RNA", at positions 1 to 73 of the family's 1533-position model. The record is from RNAcentral. Lineage: Bacteria; Bacillati; Bacillota; Clostridia; Eubacteriales.
UUUAAAUUGAGAGUUUGAUCCUGGCUCAGGACGAACGCUGGCGGCGUGCUUAACACAUGCAAGUCGAACGAGGUU